CCCUUAGAUGUUCUGGGCGGCCCGCGCACUACAUUGGCACUAGCAAAGAGAUCCUAGAUUGAAUUCUUUGGGGUAUUCUUCUAAAUGGUGUCGUGACUGGGAUAAAUCCUUGUAAUUAUUGGUUUUGAACGAGGAAUUCCUUGUAAUCGCGGUUUAUCAGCUCGCGUUGAAUGCGUCCCUGCCCUUUGUACACACCGCCCGUCGCUCCUACCGAUGGAUCGUCCGGUGAAGCUCACGGAGUGACUGUUCACGCAACGGUUUACGAAGUGAAAUGGACCUCACGACUUAGAGGAAGGAGAAGUCGUAACA
This 309-nucleotide ribosomal RNA is filed under the name uncultured eukaryote. RNAcentral describes it as "partial 18S ribosomal RNA". It matches the Rfam family "Eukaryotic small subunit ribosomal RNA", at positions 1470 to 1796 of the family's 1831-position model. The record is from RNAcentral.